GGCUAGUCUGAAGGUGAUGAGUUAUGUCAACUGAUUGUUCAUUGUCAAACUCCUUGUUCUACUCUUUCUCCUCUUCUCACUACUGCACUUGACUAGUCUUAA
This 102-nucleotide Y RNA is filed under the name Gorilla gorilla gorilla (western lowland gorilla). RNAcentral's name for it is "Y RNA (ENSGGOG00000031401.2)". It matches the Rfam family "Y RNA". Rfam says of the family: Y RNAs are components of the Ro ribonucleoprotein particle (Ro RNP), in association with Ro60 and La proteins. The Y RNAs and Ro60 and La proteins are well conserved, but the function of the Ro RNP is not known. In humans the RNA component can be one of four small RNAs -- hY1, hY3, hY4 and hY5. Lineage: Eukaryota; Metazoa; Chordata; Mammalia; Primates; Hominidae. The record is from Rfam by way of RNAcentral.